AGAGUUUGAUCCUGGCUCAGGAUGAACGCUAGCGGCAGGCUUAAUACAUGCAAGUCGUGGGGCAACAGAAUGUAGCAAUACAUUGCUGGCGACCGGCGCACGGGUGCGUAACGCGUAUGCAAUCUACCUUUAACUGGAAAAUAGCUCAGAGAAAUCUGAAUUAAUGCUCCAUAGUAUUACGAUGUGGCAUCACAUUGUAAUUAAAGCUCCGGCGGUUAGAGAUGAGCAUGCGUCCGAUUAGCUAGUUGGCGAGGUAAUGGCUCACCAAGGCAACGAUCGGUAGGGGGUCUGAGAGGACGAUCCCCCACACUGGUACUGAGACACGGACCAGACUCCUACGGGAGGCAGCAGUAAGGAAUAUUGGACAAUGGAGGAAACUCUGAUCCAGCCAUGCCGCGUGAAGGAAGAAGGCGCUAUGCGUUGUAAACUUCUUUUGUACGGGAAAAACCCCUUGGUCGUGCACCGAGGCUGAUUGUACCGUAAGAAUAAGGAUCGGCUAACUCCGUGCCAGCAGCCGCGGUAAUACGGAGGAUCCAAGCGUUAUCCGGAUUUAUUGGGUUUAAAGGGUGCGUAGGCGGGAUUGUAAGUCAGUGGUGAAAGCCUGCAGCUUAACUGCAGAAUUGCCAUUGAUACUGCUAUUCUUGAGUAUAGUUGAUGUGGGCGGAAUGUGUGGUGUAGCGGUGAAAUGCAUAGAUAUUACACAGAACUCCGAUAGCGAAGGCAGCUCACAAAACUAUAACUGACGCUGAGGCACGAAAGUGUGGGGAGCAAACAGGAUUAGAUACCCUGGUAGUCCACACUGUAAACGAUGAUCACUCGAUGUUGGCGAUGCACUGUCAGCGUCUAAGCAAAAGCAUUAAGUGAUCCACCUGGGAAGUACGCCCGCAAGGGUGAAACUCAAAGGAAUUGACGGGGGCCCGCACAAGCGGUGGAGCAUGUGGUUUAAUUCGAUGGUACGCGAGGAACCUUACCAGGGCUCGAACGCAAGUUGACAGAUCGGGAAACCGGUUCUUCUUCGGACAAUUUGCGAGGUGCUGCAUGGCUGUCGUCAGCUCGUGCCGUGAGGUGUCGGGUUAAGUCCCUUAACGAGCGCAACCCUUAUCUUUAGUUGCCAGCGGGUAAUGCCGGGAACUCUAAAGAAACUGCCCGCGUAAGCGGGAGGAAGGUGGGGAUGACGUCAAGUCAGCACGGCCCUUACGUCCUGGGCUACACACGUGCUACAAUGGCAAGUACAAAGGGUCGCUACACAGUAAUGUGAUGCUAAUCUCUAAAGCUUGUCUCAGUUCGGAUUGAGGUCUGCAACCCGACCUCAUGAAGCUGGAAUCGCUAGUAAUCGGGUAUCAGCAACGAUCCGGUGAAUACGUUCCCGGGCCUUGUACACACCGCCCGUCAAACAAUGGAAGCUGAGGGUACCUGAAGUCGAUAACCGCAAGGAGUCGCCUAGGGUAAAAUCGGUAACUGGUGUUAAGUCGGAACAAGGUA
This 1482-nucleotide ribosomal RNA is filed under the name metagenome. RNAcentral's name for it is "bacterial SSU rRNA". It matches the Rfam family "Bacterial small subunit ribosomal RNA". The record is from RNAcentral.